UACCAGCACCCCGAGUGGUCGGGGCGUUUAUUGGGCCUAAAGCAUCCGUAGCCGGUUCUACAAGUCUUCCGUUAAAUCCACCUGCUCAACAGAUGGGCUGCGGAAGAUACUAUGGAGCUAGGAGGCGGGAGAGGCAAGCGGUACUCGAUGGGUAGGGGUAAAAUCCGUUGAUCCAUUGAAGACCACCAGUGGCGAAGGCGGCUUGCCAGAACGCGCUCGACGGUGAGGGAUGAAAGCUGGGGGAGCAAACCGG
RNAcentral lists this ribosomal RNA (253 nucleotides) under uncultured bacterium. RNAcentral describes it as "partial 16S ribosomal RNA". It matches the Rfam family "Archaeal small subunit ribosomal RNA", at positions 474 to 727 of the family's 1478-position model. The record is from RNAcentral.